RNAcentral lists this ribosomal RNA (754 nucleotides) under uncultured feedlot manure bacterium A71. Its description in RNAcentral is "bacterial SSU rRNA". It matches the Rfam family "Bacterial small subunit ribosomal RNA", at positions 16 to 752 of the family's 1533-position model. The record is from RNAcentral.
AUCCUGGCUCAGGACGAACGCUGGCGGCAUGCUUAAUACAUGCAAGUCGAACGUUGAAGCMCYUYUGCUUGCAGAGUGCGGAAUGAGUGCCGAACGGGUGAGUAACACGUGGGAAAUCUGCCUAAGAGUGGGGGAUACCAUUCGGAAACGGAUGCUAAUACCGCAUAUAUUCUCGACCGCAUGGUUCUGGAAAGAAAGCGGCUUUGCUGUCGCUUUUAGAUGAUCCCGCGGCGUAUUAGUUAGUUGGUGGGGUAACGGCCUACCAAGACCAUGAUACGUAGCCGACCUGAGAGGGUGAUCGGCCACACUGGGACUGAGACACGGCCCAGACUCCUACGGGAGGCAGCAGUAGGGAAUCUUCCACAAUGGGUGCAAACCUGAUGGAGCAAUGCCGCGUGAAUGAAGAAGGUCUUCGGAUCGUAAAGUUCUGUUAUUAGAGAAGAACAAGUCGAGGAGUAACUGUCUCGACUUUGACGGUACCUAACCAGAAAGUCACGGCUAACUACGUGCCAGCAGCCGCGGUAAUACGUAGGUGACAAGCGUUGUCCGGAAUUAUUGGGCGUAAAGGGAGCGCAGGCGGUUGGAAUAGUCUGAUGUGAAAGCCCACGGCUUAACCGUGGAAGGUCAUUGGAAACUGUCCAACUUGAAUGCAGAAGAGGUAAGUGGAAUUCCAUGUGUAGCGGUGAAAUGCGUAGAUAUAUGGAGGAACACCAGUGGCGAAGGCGACUUACUGGUCUGUAAUUGACGCUGAGGC